GACGAACGCUGGCGGCGUGCUUAACACAUGCAAGUCGAACGGAAAGGCCCUGCUUUUGUGGGGUGCUCGAGUGGCGAACGGGUGAGUAACACGUGAGUAACCUGCCCUUGACUUUGGGAUAACUUCAGGAAACUGGGGCUAAUACCGGAUAGGAGCUCCUGCUGCAUGGUGGGGGUUGGAAAGUUUCGGCGGUUGGGGAUGGACUCGCGGCUUAUCAGCUUGUUGGUGGGGUAGUGGCUUACCAAGGCUUUGACGGGUAGCCGGCCUGAGAGGGUGACCGGCAACAUUGGGACUGAGAUACGGCCCAGAAUCCUACGGGAGGCAGCAGUGGGGAAUAUUGCACAAUGGGCGGAAGACUGAUGCAGCAACGCCGCGUGCGGGAUGACGGACUUCGGGUUGUAAACCGCUUUCGCCUGUGACGAAGCGUGAGUGACGGUAAUGGGUAAAGAAGCACCGGCUAACUACGUG
This 468-nucleotide ribosomal RNA is filed under the name uncultured bacterium. Its description in RNAcentral is "partial 16S ribosomal RNA". It matches the Rfam family "Bacterial small subunit ribosomal RNA", at positions 28 to 507 of the family's 1533-position model. The record is from RNAcentral.